UCCAAACUGGUGUAAGUAACCAUACUGCACCUGCGCGGAGAUCGACUCGCAUACCAUCUAAGAACCUCCUGAUUAAGUCUUCCUGAUCGAAAUUAUUACCAGCAAACAAGCGGAGUUGGCAAAACUCCCGCUCGUACUCCCUGACACUCCUGGUACCCUGCCUCAGGUGCUCAAAAGCAUUCCUCUUCUGGUGCAACGCUUCUCUGGGAAAGUACUUUUUCUCGAACGUAAUGAGGAAUACCUCAUAAGUCAUGUCACCAUCACACAUCGAUCGCACUCCAUCCCAUCAUACUAUUGCAUCUCCAUGCAUAUACAACUCUACGAUGUUAAGGCAAAGGCACAACAGACAAUUGAUAGUCUGCAGACACGAAGCCAACCUAUGCUUCUAAUUAUAUGCCGCUCCAGGGUCUACUAUUCCCCCAUAAGUCUCCAAAUCCACAGUUUUCAUCAAUCUCA
Molecule: long non-coding RNA, 456 nt
Filed under: Brassica napus (rape)
Lineage: Eukaryota; Viridiplantae; Streptophyta; Magnoliopsida; Brassicales; Brassicaceae
Description: long non-coding RNA (BNAP_LNC006992)
Source: RNAcentral